Molecule: non-coding RNA, 85 nt
Organism: Asterophora parasitica
Lineage: Eukaryota; Fungi; Basidiomycota; Agaricomycetes; Agaricales; Lyophyllaceae
Source: the annotation of a GenBank genome assembly
GCCGCGUUGGCGUAGUGGUAGCGCGUCUCACUUGUACUAUUCAAUGUACAUGAGAAGGUCAUUCGUUCAAUCCGGGUACGUGGCA